CACGUAGGAGGCAAACGUUAUCCGGAUUUACUGGGCGUAAAGCGCGUGUAGGUGGUUUGGUAAGUAGGGCGUGAAAGCUCCUGGCUCAACUGGGAGAGGACGUUCUAAACUGCCAAGCUUGAGGAUGGUAGAGGGAGGUGGAAUUCCGGGUGUAGCGGUGGAAUGCGCAGAUAUCCGGAGGAACACCAGUGGCGAAGGCGGCCUCCUGGACCACUCCUGACACUCAGACGCGAAAGCUAGGGUAGCAAACGGGAUUAGAGACCCCGGUAGUCCUAGCCCUAAACGAUGUAGACUUGGCGUCGGUGGUUUAAUCGCCAUCGGUGUCGUAGCUAACGCGAUAAGUCUACCGCCUGGGGACUACGGCCGCAAGGUUAAAACUCAAAGGAAUUGACGGGUCCCCGCACAAGCAGCGGAGCGUGUGGUUUAAUUCGAUGCUACACGAAGAACCUUACCUGGGUUUGACAUAGAGGUAGUAGGGAAGCGAAAGCGGACCGACCCUUCGGGGAGCCUCUACAGGUGUUGCAUGGCU
Molecule: ribosomal RNA, 529 nt
Filed under: uncultured bacterium
Lineage: Bacteria
Description: bacterial SSU rRNA
Rfam family: Bacterial small subunit ribosomal RNA
Source: RNAcentral